RNAcentral lists this ribosomal RNA (1197 nucleotides) under Triticum aestivum (bread wheat). Its description in RNAcentral is "partial small subunit ribosomal RNA". The record is from RNAcentral. Lineage: Eukaryota; Viridiplantae; Streptophyta; Magnoliopsida; Poales; Poaceae.
AUGGGGAACGCACACCAUCGGCACGCCGCACACCAGGCUCUCCAUCACCGAGUUCCAUCCACAAUGCGUCACGAAGCAGCCCACCGCCGCGUGCGAGAGCACCCGCACCUGGUCGCACCACUCCACCACCAUGCCGUUCCUGAGCCGCGCGUUCGUCUCGGGCUCCCGCGUCGCCUCGCCAUCGGCGAACUCGGCCUUGACGUCCUUCCGGACGACGCAGAGGUAAGGCCUCCCGCUCUGCUCGAGGUCGAGGAGCAGCUCGUCGAGCUGCUCCCUGUCCAUCCCCGCCCGGCUCCCGAACGCGACGUACACCACGGAAUCGGCCGGCUUGGUAUCGAGCCACUCCAUGUACUUGGCGCCGUCCUGCUUGAAGAGGCCGGUCUCGUCGCCGGACGGGGGCACUGGGCCAAUCGGCAGCGCGUUGUACGCUCCCAUGGCGGCGAGCGCGCUCACCUCGAGUUCCUGGCACGUGUUGACGAGCACGUUUGCUCUGGGGGUUUCCCUGUCGAGCGUGUGGAACAGGUCGCGGAUGGUAGUGUAGAUGCUGUGGUAGAACUCGGAGGGGUCGGUGGACUCCGUGAUGAUGGACGGGAGGUCCUGCACGGCCAGCGGAGGGAGGCCCGGGAGCCGCACGAUGAACGACGGGUCGUGGCGGUUGUCGGUCACGACGCCGGCGUGGCCGUAGAAGAAAUGGUAGUAGACGGCCAACACGGCAGCCGGCUGGAUCCAGUAGAGCGCGGACGGCACGCCUUUCUCGCGCGCGACGUCAGCGGCCCACGGGAGGAGCAUCGUGUAGACGACGCGGGUCACGGGGCGGCCGCGCGCGGCGAGCGCGUCCACCAGCUCCCCGACGCUGCGCGCGCCCGCGGCGUGGAAGGACGCAAUGUAGUCGGUGCACGCCGCGGGGUCGGUGGUCCUGUCGUACCCGUUGUCGAAGCCGUCCGAGAACGGGAGGAACUCGAGGCGGCCGUCGCCGCCGUCGGGCGCGUCCGCCUCCGCCGGGAACAUGCGGCGGUGCGCGGUCACGGUGGUGGAGAACGUGACGAGCGCGCCAGGCGCAGCGGCGAGCAGGCGCCGGGCGAGGCGGAGCGCCGGCGCGAUGUGUCCCUGGAGCGGGUACGUGAGCACGAGGAAGUGCGGCUGCGGAGGCAUGCUUGUCCCCCUUUCCUGAGGCUGACUCGCGUGGCUUUCGCGUAG